This 253-nucleotide ribosomal RNA is filed under the name uncultured bacterium. RNAcentral describes it as "partial 16S ribosomal RNA". It matches the Rfam family "Bacterial small subunit ribosomal RNA", at positions 524 to 776 of the family's 1533-position model. The record is from RNAcentral.
UACGGAGGGUGCAAACGUUGCUCGGAAUCAUUGGGCGUAAAGCGCACGUAGGUGGCCUGUUAAGUCGGGUGUGAAAUCCCUGGGCUCAACCCAGGAAGUGCACUCGAAACUGGCAGGCUUGAGUACUGAAGAGGGUCCCGGAAUUCCCGGUGUAGAGGUGAAAUUCGUAGAUAUCGGGAGGAACACCAGUGGCGAAGGCGGCGACCUGGGCAGAUACUGACACUGAGGUGCGAAAGCGUGGGGAGCAAACAGG